This 531-nucleotide ribosomal RNA is filed under the name uncultured bacterium. RNAcentral's name for it is "bacterial SSU rRNA". It matches the Rfam family "Bacterial small subunit ribosomal RNA", at positions 355 to 896 of the family's 1533-position model. The record is from RNAcentral.
UGGGGAAUAUUGCACAAUGGGCGCAAGCCUGAUGCAGCGACGCCGCGUGAGGGAUGACGGCCUUCGGGUUGUAAACCUCUGUUAGCAUCGAAGAAGCGAAAGCGACGGUAGGUGCAGAGAAAGCGCCGGCUAACUACGUGCCAGCAGCCGCGGUAAUACGUAGGGCGCGAGCGUUGUCCGGAAUUAUUGGGCGUAAAGAGCUUGUAGGCGGUUGGUCGCGUCUGCUGUGAAAGGCCGGGGCUUAACUCCGGUUUUGCAGUGGGUACGGGCUAACUAGAGUGCAGUAGGGGAGACUGGAAUUCCUGGUGUAGCGGUGGAAUGCACAGAUAUCAGGAGGAACACCGAUGGCGAAGGCAGGUCUCUGGGCUGUAACUGACGCUGAGAAGCGAAAGCAUGGGGAGCGAACAGGAUUAGAUACCCUGGUAGUCCAUGCCGUAAACGUUGGGCACUAGGUGUGGGGGACAUUCCACGUUUUCCGCGCCGUAGCUAACGCAUUAAGUGCCCCGCCUGGGGAGUACGGCCGCAAGGCUA